Molecule: ribosomal RNA, 367 nt
Filed under: uncultured Alphaproteobacteria bacterium
Lineage: Bacteria; Pseudomonadati; Pseudomonadota; Alphaproteobacteria
Description: bacterial SSU rRNA
Rfam family: Bacterial small subunit ribosomal RNA
Source: RNAcentral
GAUGAAGGCCCUAGGGUUGUAAAGCUCUGUUAGUGGGGAAGAAGGCUUCCGGUGCUAAUAUCAUCAGAUUCAAGACGGUACCUGCAGAGGAAGCUCCGGCUAACUCCGUGCCAGCAGCCGCGGUAAUACGGAGGGAGCGAGCGUUGUCCGGAUUUAUUGGGCGUAAAGGGCAUGUAGGCGGUACAGCAAGUCAGAGGUGAAAUGUCACGGCUCAACCGAGGACCUGCCUUUGAAACUACUGAUCUUGAGUCCUGGAGAGGGAAACGGAAUUCCUAGUGUAGCGGUGAAAUGCAUAGAUAUCCGGAAGAACACCGGUGGCGAAGGCGGCUUUCUGGACAGGUACUGACGCUGAGGUGCGAAAGCGUGG